This 1952-nucleotide long non-coding RNA is filed under the name Lathyrus oleraceus (garden pea). RNAcentral's name for it is "Pisum sativum (pea) long non-coding RNA (PSAT_LNC039899)". The record is from RNAcentral. Lineage: Eukaryota; Viridiplantae; Streptophyta; Magnoliopsida; Fabales; Fabaceae.
AGGGUGACAAAAUAAAAAAGGUAGAGAUGUGUAACCUUCAAAAGAUCAACCUAUAUCAGAAAUCACUUGAUCUGUACAUUUGAUAGAUAAGAAAGAAAAUUACUCAUAAAAGAUAGAAAAAAAAGGAAAAUAUGACAAUUUUUCAGCAGUACGUAUUUUUUUACCCUUUGUAUUUUGUUUAUACAAUCAUAAAGUGAUUAUGAACCAGAGAUUUCUAUUAAAUAUUGUAAGCUAAAUAUUUAUAUUAAGUAAAUCCUCAAUUAUAUAAAUCAAUCAAACAUUUAUUGAGUAACAAACCUUGACAUUAACUAGUUUAGAAAGAUAUGUAUUGAACAUCAAAAUUAAUUAAAUAUAUACUUAUAUCCUAAAGAACAUAAAAUGUCAUCUUCUAUAUUCUGAUAAUUAAACAAUUAACAUAAGUUAUAUAGAUUAAAAAAUAUGCUAAAAUACUAAUUAUAAGUAGAAAAUGAAAAAGAAAAAAAGAAAAAAGAAUAAUUACAAGAAAAUGAAAAAGAAAAAAUGAAAAUAGAAUAAUUACAAGAAAAUGAAAAUGUGACCGUAUGUUAUAAAGGAAACCAACUCAAUCAUUUUUCCAGUGUUACAUUAGCACCAUCUUUAUUAUUUUGAGAUCCUUAUAAUCCUAACAACCAUCUCAAUCUCAUCAAAAUAAUACGAAAACCCUAUCAUAAUCAUUGGUGACGCAAGAAUAAAAUUGAAAAUAAGAAGAAACACAGAUGAAUAGAGUGACAAAAUGAGAGAGUUAGAGAUGUGUAACCAUCAAAAGAUCAACCUAUAUCAGAAAUCACUUGAUCUGUACAUUUGAUAGAUAAGAAUGAAAAUUACUCAUAAAAGAUAGAAAAAAAAAGAUGACAUAUAUAUAAAUCAUAAAAUGAAUAUGAACCAGAGAUUUCUUUUAAAUAAAGUAAGCUAAAUAUUUUCAUUAAGUACAUCCCCAAUUAUAUAAAUCAAUCAAACAUGUAAUGAGUAAAAAACAUUGACAUUAAAUAAUUUAGAAAGAUAUGUAUUGAACAUGAAAAUUAAUUAAAUAUAUACUUGUAUGCUUAAGAACAUAAAAUGUCAUCUUCUAUAUUCUGAUAAUUAAACAAUUAACAUAAGUUAUACAGAUUAAAAAAUAUGCUAAAAUACUAAUUAUAAGUAGAAAAUGAGAAAGAAAAAAAGAAAAUAGAAUAAUAACAACAAAUUUAAAAUGAGAUCGUAUGGUAUAAGGGUAACCAAUUCAAUCAGUUUUCCAGUGUUACACUAGCACCACCUUUAUUAUUGUAAGAUCCUCAUAAUCCUAACAAACAUCUCAAUCUCAUCAAAACAAUACGAAAAACCCUAUCAUAAUCAUUGGUGAUGCAAGAAUAAAAUUUAAAAUAACAGGAAACACAAAUGAAUAGAGUGACCAAAUAAACAAGUUAGAGAUAUGUAACCUUCAAAAGAUAAACCUAUAUCAAAAAUUACUUGAUCUGUACAUUUGAUAGAUAAGAAAGAAAAUUACUCAUAAAAGAUAGAAAAAAAAAGGAAAAUAUGAAAAAAUUUCUGUUGUACGUUUUAUUUACCCUUUGUAUUUGUUUUAUACAAUCAUAAAGUGAUUAUAAAUCAGAGAUUUCUAUUAAAUAAUGUAAGCUAAAUAUUUUUAUUAAGUACAUCCUCAAUUAUAUAAAUCAAUCAAACAUGUAAUGAGUAACAAACUUUGAGAUUAAAUAGUUUAGAAAGAUAUGUAUUGAACAUCAAAAUUAAUUAAAUAUAUACUUGUAUCCUUAAGAACAUAAAAUGUCAUCUUCUAUAUUCUGAUAAUUAAAGAAUUAACAUAAGUUAUACAGAUUAAAAAAUAUGCUAAAAUAGUAAUUAUAAGUGGAAAAUGAAAAAGAAAAAAAGAAAAUAGAAUAAUUACAAGAAAAUGAAAAAGAAAAAAAGAAAAAAGAAUAAUUACAAGAAAAUGAAAAUGA